RNAcentral lists this ribosomal RNA (377 nucleotides) under Enterobacter sp. LGI-P5B. RNAcentral's name for it is "bacterial SSU rRNA". It matches the Rfam family "Bacterial small subunit ribosomal RNA", at positions 996 to 1371 of the family's 1533-position model. The record is from RNAcentral. Lineage: Bacteria; Pseudomonadati; Pseudomonadota; Gammaproteobacteria; Enterobacterales; Enterobacteriaceae.
ACUUACAGAGACGCUUGGUUAGCUUCGGGAACUCUGAGACAGGCGCUGCAUGUCUGUCGUCAGCUCGUGUGUGAAAUGUUGGGUUAAGUCCCGCAACGAGCGCCAACCUUUAUCCUUUGUUGCCAGCGGUUAGGCCGGGAACUCAAAGGAGACUGCCAGUGAUAAACUGGAGGAAGGUGGGGAUGACGUCAAGUCAUCAUGGCCCUUACGAGUAGGGCUACACACGUGCUACAAUGGCGCAUACAAAGAGAAGCGACCUCGCGAGAGCAAGCGGACCUCAUAAANUGCGUCUGUAGUCCUGGAUUGGAGUCUGCAACUCGACUCCAUGAAGUCGGAAUCGCUAGUAAUCGUAGAUCAGAAUGCUACGGUGAAUACGU